AUUGAACGCUGGCGGCAGGCCUAACACAUGCAAGUCGAGCGGAUGAAGGGAGCUAGCUCCUGGAUUCAGCGGCGGACGGGUGAGUAAUGCCUAGGAAUCUGCCUGGUAGUGGGGGAUAACGUCCGGAAACGGGCGCUAAUACCGCAUACGUCCUGAGGGAGAAAGUGGGGGAUCUUCGGACCUCACGCUAUCAGAUGAGCCUAGGUCGGAUUAGCUAGUUGGUGGGGUAAAGGCCUACCAAGGCGACGAUCCGUAACUGGUCUGAGAGGAUGAUCAGUCACACUGGAACUGGGACACGGUCCAGACUCCUACGGGAGGCAGCAGUGGGGAAUAUUGGACAAUGGGCGAAAGCCUGAUCCAGCCAUGCCGCGUGUGUGAAGAAGGUCUUCGGAUUGUAAAGCACUUUAAGUUGGGAGGAAGGGCAGUAAGUUAAUACCUUGCUGUUUUGACGUUACCAACAGAAUAAGCACCGGCUAACUUCGUG
This 484-nucleotide ribosomal RNA is filed under the name uncultured bacterium. RNAcentral's name for it is "partial 16S ribosomal RNA". It matches the Rfam family "Bacterial small subunit ribosomal RNA", at positions 30 to 507 of the family's 1533-position model. The record is from RNAcentral.